UACGUAGGGGGCAAGCGUUGUCCGGAUUUAUUGGGCGUAAAGAGCGUGUAGGCGGCUUGGUAGGUCCGCUGUGAAAACUCGAGGCUCAACCUCGAGAUGUCGGCGGAAACCACUUGGCUAGAGUCCGGAAGAGGAGAGCGGAAUUCCCGGUGUAGCGGUGAAAUGCGCAGAUAUCGGGAAGAACACCUAUGGCGAAGGCAGCUCUCUGGGACGGUACUGACGCUGAGACGCGAAAGCGUGGGGAGCGAACAGG
Molecule: ribosomal RNA, 253 nt
Filed under: uncultured bacterium
Lineage: Bacteria
Description: partial 16S ribosomal RNA
Rfam family: Bacterial small subunit ribosomal RNA
Source: RNAcentral